Molecule: transfer RNA, 84 nt
Filed under: Candidatus Woesearchaeota archaeon
Lineage: Archaea; Nanobdellati; Candidatus Woesearchaeota
Description: tRNA-Ser
Rfam family: tRNA
About the family: Transfer RNA (tRNA) molecules are approximately 80 nucleotides in length. Their secondary structure includes four short double-helical elements and three loops (D, anti-codon, and T loops).
Source: RNAcentral
GCCGUGGUCGCAUAACCUGGUAUUGCGCGAGUUUCGAAAACUCGUUUCCGCAAGGAGUUCUCGGUUCAAAUCCGAGCCACGGCG